UCAAUCGAUAGCGCAAUGUCAAAAGGUUAAAAACCCAAAAAAUUGUUUAUAAAGUAGAAUAUGUGUAUACUCUUUUGAAGAAAACCUCAGCAAAAAAUGGUUAGGUUUAGGUUUAGAUUCGGCCCUUCCCUAUGUAAUUAAUCUGUCUUAAGGCUAGUUCCAUGGGGAUUAUCAAAUAAGAAUUUUUAAAUCUUCUCUUAUUUCCAAUUCAAGGAUAUACUCAUUAGUUGUACGCUAUUCUAUUCUAGCGAAAGGCACUUGAAGCUGCCAUCAAAAUAUAUUCGAAGGAAAAGUAACGCGCUGAAGCAGGCAUCUUAAAACCAGAAAAUUUUGGCAUACCGUUGCGCAGGCACACUUCAAUUAAAAUCAAAAUGAAUUAAAGUGAAAUUUCAUAAAAACCGAUCCUUAUGAUAGACCAACAGCGUAGUUAUUCAAGAACUCAUUUCUCAUUGCGUGGUCACUCUGCUGACCCACAAUUUUAAUACAGUUUGACUUGGACGCAAGUCAGGGCAUGAUUAUGGAGGUGCCUCAUCUAUGCCAUAUCGCAGACCAAUCGCAAGCUGCUCUUAAUAUGGUCAGUUCCUGGUACUGCCCCUAUAUCUUUUAAAUCAGUUGCAUAAGCCAGGGCUAGAAGUGAGAGUUUGGUAAACACAAAUUUUCUCUAGAUCCGAACAAAUCGUUCUACAUGAUAUUUUAUACUGUUAUAUGCUACUGUUAGCUGCAGUCCCUUUCUCUGUUAACCCACAGGGCUGUGCUGCAGGUAAUCGGAUAGGCCACAAAAGGCGAAAGUCUGCUGGGCGCAUACCAUUUUUUCCACCAUUAGUUUAUUAUUGUUAUAAUUUCUUUAUUGUCAUUAUUAUAUGCGAGCACUUUUUCGAGCUGCUUCAUUUGAGCCAACACAUUCGUAAUUACCAUCAUGCCAGCAGCAAACCAAACACAAACACAAGCACACACAUACACACACACACAAGCACACACAUGCACAGAUAGUUGGAGCUGGAAGCUGCGCAACGUGUUGAUUUCCAGGCAACCGCAAAUCCACUUGGAGCCGGCCCAACGAGGGGCACUGAGAGCCACUUGAAAUUAUGCGGCUGUUAGCUACCAGAUAACGCAUUUGAUUAUGACAACGGGCCAUAACGACAAGCUGAGCUGCAAAAGAGGCAGCACUGGCUAGCUUUGGAAAGUGGCAGCUGGCUGAAACAACUUGGCCAACUUGCCUGCCACGCGGGGGUGCCUGAUGCAUGCCCAGCUGCCACUGCGGCUGCAUCUGCAAAGACAAUCAAAUCACUUUUGGCUGCCUGACACUGAUUCACAUUCAUGUCAAAUGGCCAACGGGUGCACAGCAAAUGAAAUCAGUUUUGGAUGUCCAACAAAAACUAUCCAAGAGCUCCCCACUUGGUUUUGGCGCGCGCGGCGUUUGUUAUGGUCUCUAUUAUUGUAUAUGAUGAUGGAGUGGAGCUGCUAUGGACCAGAAUUCUAUUCACCUUCUUUUGACUGCGGCCGCCUAUUUGUCGUCCACUCUUCUGGCAUUUAUGAAUUUCUCUCGACUUCUGUCGGUCCCGGUCGAGCUAUGUGCGCCACAAAAUGCAUAAACAAUCGAGAAACCAAUUUCAAGUCCGGCAUUGCCCAAAAUACCAAAAAAAAAAGAAUGUUGAAAUCUUUGCCCCCGGAUUUUUCGGGUGUCUUUUUUUUUAUUAUUGUUCUGGGCUGAAAUUGAAGCCAAAGUCGGUGUAAAUAUUGAAACUAUUUGCACAGCGCACAGUGGAAGAAAUACCAGCAACUGAGAAAAAUGUGGCUACGUUUCGCUGCAAGACAAUAUUAAUAAAAAAAAACAUUUGGCUCAAACUAUUGCAAUUUUUGUUUAAUGAAACAAAUCUUA
Drosophila novamexicana is the source of this 1879-nucleotide long non-coding RNA. RefSeq lists it as uncharacterized. The record is from RefSeq and is a predicted model, not a curated record. The transcript is spliced from 5 exons. NCBI's taxonomy places the organism in Eukaryota, Metazoa, Arthropoda, Insecta, Diptera, Drosophilidae.